CUACCAUGGUGGUAACGGGUAACGGGGUGUUAGGGCACGACACCGGAGAGGGAGCCUGAGAAACGGCUACCACAUCCAAGGAUGGCAGCAGGCGCGCAAAUUACCCAAUCCCGACACGGGGAGGUAGUGACAAUAAAUAACAAUACGGGGUUCUUUCGGAUCUCGUAAUUGGAAUGAGUACAAUUUAAAUCUCUUAACGAGGAACAAUUGGAGGGCAAGUCUGGUGCCAGCAGCCGCGGUAAUUCCAGCUCCAAUAGCGUAUAUUAAAGUUGUUGCAGUUAAAAAGCUCGUAGUUGAAUUUCGGGGUUAGUAGGUUGGUCAUGCCUCUGGUAUGUACUGGUCUCACUGAUUCCUCCUUCCUUAUGAACCGUAAUGCCAUUAAUUUGGUGUUGCGGGGAAUUUGGACUGUUACUUUGAAAAAAUUAGAGUGUUUAAAGCAAGCUAACGCUUGAAUACAUUAGCAUGGAAUAAUGAAAUAGGACGUUCGAUCUUAUUUUGUUGGUUUCUAGGAUUGACGUAAUGAUUAAUAGGGAUAGUUGGGGGCAUUAGUAUUCAAUUGUCAGAGGUGAAAUUCUUGGAUUCAUUGAAGACUAACUACUGCGAAAGCAUUUGCNNNGGAUGUUUUCAUUAAUCAAGAACGAAAGUUAGGGGAUCGAAGACGAUCAGAUACCGUCGUAGUCUUAACCA
This 687-nucleotide ribosomal RNA is filed under the name uncultured fungus. Its description in RNAcentral is "SSU rRNA". It matches the Rfam family "Eukaryotic small subunit ribosomal RNA", at positions 341 to 1032 of the family's 1831-position model. Lineage: Eukaryota; Fungi. The record is from RNAcentral.